UGGGGAAUCUUGCGCAAUGGGCGAAAGCCUGACGCAGCGACGCCGCGUGAGUGAUGAAGGCCUUCGGGUUGUAAAGCUCUGUGGGGAGAGACGAAUAAGGCGUGGCUAAUAUCCACGUUGAUGACGGUAUCUCCUUAGCAAGCACCGGCUAACUCUGUGCCAGCAGCCGCGGUAAGACAGAGGGUGCAAACGUUGUUCGGAAUUACUGGGCGUAAAGCGUGUGUAGGCGGUUCUGUAGGUCGGAUGUGAAAGCCCUCGGCUCAACCAAGGAAGUGCAUUCGAAACCCCAGAACUGGAGUGUUGGAGAGGAAGGCGGAAUUGUCGGUGUAGAGGUGAAAUUCGUAGAUAUCGACAGGAACACCUGCGGCGAAAGCGGCCUUCUGGACAAACACUGACGCUGAGACACGAAAGCGUGGGGAGCAAACAGG
Molecule: ribosomal RNA, 428 nt
Filed under: uncultured bacterium
Lineage: Bacteria
Description: bacterial SSU rRNA
Rfam family: Bacterial small subunit ribosomal RNA
Source: RNAcentral